UCCGUAGGUGGAUCAAUCAGUCAGAGGUGAAAUCCUGCAGCUUAACUGUAGAACUGCCUUUGAUACUGUUGAUCUUGAGUCAUUAUGAAGUGGUUAGAAUGUGUAGUGUAGCGGUGAAAUGCAUAGAUAUUACACAGAAUACCGAUUGCGAAGGCAGAUCACUAAUAAUGUACUGACACUGAGGGACGAAAGCGUGGGGAGCGAACAGGAUUAGAUACCCUGGUAGUCA
This 229-nucleotide ribosomal RNA is filed under the name uncultured bacterium. RNAcentral describes it as "partial 16S ribosomal RNA". It matches the Rfam family "Bacterial small subunit ribosomal RNA", at positions 568 to 796 of the family's 1533-position model. The record is from RNAcentral.